GGCAUGUAGCUCAGUGGUAGAGUGCUUGCCUAGCAUGCAUGAAGCCCUGGGUUCAAUUCCUAGUACCA
Molecule: transfer RNA, 68 nt
Filed under: Marmota monax (woodchuck)
Lineage: Eukaryota; Metazoa; Chordata; Mammalia; Rodentia; Sciuridae
Description: tRNA.Ala
Rfam family: tRNA (bases 5-65)
About the family: Transfer RNA (tRNA) molecules are approximately 80 nucleotides in length. Their secondary structure includes four short double-helical elements and three loops (D, anti-codon, and T loops).
Source: RNAcentral